This 869-nucleotide small RNA is filed under the name Pan troglodytes (chimpanzee). RNAcentral's name for it is "processed transcript". The record is from RNAcentral. Lineage: Eukaryota; Metazoa; Chordata; Mammalia; Primates; Hominidae.
AGGCGGUGGCGACGUCCAGCCUGAGAACCUCAAGAGAGGGAGGUGACGGGACGCUGAGAGGAAGAGACCUGGGAAAUUAAGUUUCUUGCGGAGUACGGUGGGGAUUGCAGCUGCUGAGCAGGGAUUCUGGAAAGCAUUGAGUACCUGAGCCCCCAGCAUGGCGGGCCUAAAGCGGCGGGCAAGCCAGGUGUGGCCAGAAGAGCAUGGUGAGCAGGAACAUGGGCUAUACAGCCUGCACCGCAUGUUUGACAUCGUGGGCACUCAUCUGACACACAGAGAUGUGCUGCAGCUGCUGCGCAUCAUCACUCGCCACGACCUGCUGCCCUACGUCACCCUCAAGAGGAGACGGGCUGUGUGCCCUGAUCUUGUAGACAAGUAUCUGGAGGAGACAUCAAUUCGCUAUGUGACCCCCAGAGCCCUCAGUGAUCCAGAACCAAGGCCUCCCCAGCCCUCUAAAACAGUGCCUCCCCACUAUCCUGUGGUGUGUUGCCCCACUUCGGGUCCUCAGAUGUGUAGCAAGCGGCCAGCCCGAGGGAGAGCCACACUUGGGAGCCAGCGAAAACGCCGGAAGUCAGUGACACCAGAUCCCAAGGAAAAGCAGACAUGUGACAUCAGACUGCGGGUUCGGGCUGAAUACUGCCAGCAUGAGACUGCUCUGCAGGGCAAUGUCUUCUCUAACAAGCAGGACCCACUUGAGCGCCAGUUUGAGCGCUUUAACCAGGCCAACACCAUCCUCAAGUCCCGGGACCUGGGCUCCAUCAUCUGUGACAUCAAGUUCUCUGAGCUCACCUACCUCGAUGCAUUCUGGCGCGACUACAUCAAUGGCUCUUUAUUAGAGGCACUUAAAGGUGUCUUCAUCACAGACUCCC